RNAcentral lists this ribosomal RNA (352 nucleotides) under uncultured bacterium. RNAcentral's name for it is "bacterial SSU rRNA". It matches the Rfam family "Bacterial small subunit ribosomal RNA", at positions 138 to 485 of the family's 1533-position model. The record is from RNAcentral.
GGGGGAUAAGGUAGGGAAAGUUAGGUUAAUACCGCUUACGAUCUACGGAUGAAAGCGGGGGACCGUAGGGCCUCGCGCGUUUGGAGCGGCCGAUGUCAAAUUAGGUAGUUGGUGAGGUAAAGGCUCACCAAGCCUGCGAUCUGUAGCUGGUCUGAGAGGACGACCAGCCACACUGGGAUUGAGACACGGCCCAAAUUCCUACGGGAGGCAGCAGUGGGGAAUUUUGUUUAUUGGGCGCAAGCCUGAUCCAGCCUUUCCGCGUGCAGGACGAAGGCCCUCGGGUUGUAAACUGUUUUUGUACGGAACGAAAAGCCUAGGGUUAAUACCUCUGGGUCAUGACGGUACCGUAAGA